Molecule: ribosomal RNA, 45 nt
Filed under: Papiliotrema terrestris
Lineage: Eukaryota; Fungi; Basidiomycota; Tremellomycetes; Tremellales; Rhynchogastremaceae
Description: partial 28S ribosomal RNA
Source: RNAcentral
UUUGACCUGAAAUCAGGUAGGGCUACCCGCUGAACUUAAGCAUAU